Myotis daubentonii (Daubenton's bat) is the source of this 188-nucleotide small nuclear RNA. RefSeq annotates it as U2 spliceosomal RNA. Lineage: Eukaryota; Metazoa; Chordata; Mammalia; Chiroptera; Vespertilionidae. The record is from RefSeq and is a predicted model, not a curated record.
AUCGCUUCUUGGCCUUUUGACUAAGAUCAAGUGUAGUAUCUGUUCUUAUCAGUUUAAAAUAGCAAGAUAGAUGGAGGAAAAUGAGACAGAAAAAGGAAUAGAUGGAAGGUGACUUGGAGUGUUUGUCUCUUCAUGGAAAUGACUGGACAUAAUUUUAAAAUCUUUAGGUAAAACUGAAGUCACUCCUC